Triticum aestivum (bread wheat) is the source of this 135-nucleotide non-coding RNA. The record is from Rfam. Lineage: Eukaryota; Viridiplantae; Streptophyta; Magnoliopsida; Poales; Poaceae.
CACAUACUCCCUCCAUCCCAAAAUUCUUGUCUUAGAUUUGUCUAAAUACGGAUGUAUCAAGUCAUGUUUUAGUAUUAGAUGCAUCCGUAUCAAAACAAAUCUAAGACAAGAAUUUUGGGACGGAGGGAGUACAUA